UACGUAGGGUGCAAGCGUUAAUCGGAAUUACUGGGCGUAAAGCGUGCGCAGGCGGUUAUAUAAGACAGAUGUGAAAUAUCCGGGCUUAACCCGGAGGGGUCAUUUGAAACUGUAAGACUAGAGUACAGCAGAGGAUAGCGGAAUUCCCGGUGUAGUGGUGAAAUGCGUAGAUAUCGGGAGGAACACCAGUGGCGAAGGCGGCUAUCUGGGCUGAAACUGACGCUGAGGCGCGAAGGCUAGGGGAGCAAACAGG
RNAcentral lists this ribosomal RNA (253 nucleotides) under uncultured bacterium. RNAcentral's name for it is "partial 16S ribosomal RNA". It matches the Rfam family "Bacterial small subunit ribosomal RNA", at positions 524 to 776 of the family's 1533-position model. The record is from RNAcentral.